AUGGCCAUCGAGUUUGCCACGGGGGCGAUGCGCUCCCUCAUUCCCAAACUGGGGGAACUGCUCCUGGAUGAGUACAACCUGAAGGGAACUGUGAAGAAGGGGAUUAGGGACCUCAAGGCCGAGCUCGAGACCAUGCAAGCUGCUCUUGAGAAGGUCUCCAACGUGCCAUUGGACCAGCUUAAUUCACAAGUCAAGAUCUGGGCCAAUGAAGUCAGGGAGCUGUCCUAUGCCAUAGAGGACAGUCUUGACUCAUCCAUGGUGCGCAUAGAUGGUCUUCAGCCUACAAAACCACGCACGUUCAAGGGCUUCAUCAAGAAGACCCGCAACAAGGUCAGCAGGUUCAAGAUCCGCCAUAGAAUAGCUGAUGACAUCAAACACAUUAAGAUUCAAGUUAGGGAGGUCAAGGAACGGUUUGAAAGGUACAAGAUCAACGAUGUUAUGUCUAAUCUCGCCACAACGACAGUUGACCCUCGUCUCUUGGCUAUGUACAACAAGGUAUCUGACCUUGUUGGCAUUGACAAGGCGAUGGAUGAGCUAAUGAGGAUGUUGCCUGAGAAAAGUGAAUUGUUGAAGAAUCAACCACUCAAGACUGUCUCCGUUGUUGGAUUCGGAGGAUUAGGCAAGACAACUCUGGCUAGAGCAGUUUAUGACAAGCUUAGCAGUUCAUCCACUUGUAGGUGUUUUGUACCAGUGGGUCAAAACCCUGACACGAAGAAAGUUCUUAGGGACAUACUCCAUGAACUUGACAAGGAAAAGUACAUAAACAUCACUGCAUCAAAAAUGGAUGCAAGGCAGCUCAUCGACGAGGUGCGUGGAUUUCUUGGGAACAAGAGGUACUUUGUCGUUAUGGAUGACAUAUGGGAUAUACCAACGUGGGAAGUGAUAAAGUGUGCUUUACUGGACACUAAAUCUGAUAGUAGAGUAAUCACAACUACUCGUAAUAUUGAAGUUGGCAAGAGAAUUGGUGAAAUUUAUAACAUGAAACCGCUUUCCAAUGUUGACUCCAAAUCCUUAUUCUAUACAAGAACAUGUGGUGGUGAAGGAGUAAGUUCAGAUAACCAACCUGCUGAAGUAACAAGCAAGAUUUUAAAGAAAUGUGGUGGUGUGCCAUUAGCUAUCAUUACAAUGGCUAGCUUGCUUGUUGGUAAACGAAGUGAGGAUUGGUCUAAGGUUUACGAUGCCAUUGGCUUUGGGCAUGAAGACAACGAAGUUGUUCAUAACACAAGAAAGAUAUUGUCUUUUAGCUAUUAUGAUCUCCCUUCCGAUCUAAAGACAUGUUUAUUGUAUCUAAGUAUGUUUCGUGAGGAUAGCUUUAUUGAGAAAAUACCACUCAUAUGGAGGUGGGUCUCUGAAGGUUUUGUACCUGAUAGAGAAGGAAUGGGGUCAUUUGAGGUAGGAGAGAUCUAUUUCAAUGAGCUAGUAAACAAAAGCAUGAUCCGAUGGAUAGAAUUUGAUGACGUCGGAAAGUUCUAA
Molecule: ribosomal RNA, 1473 nt
Filed under: Triticum aestivum (bread wheat)
Lineage: Eukaryota; Viridiplantae; Streptophyta; Magnoliopsida; Poales; Poaceae
Description: partial small subunit ribosomal RNA
Source: RNAcentral